RNAcentral lists this ribosomal RNA (434 nucleotides) under uncultured Lachnospiraceae bacterium. RNAcentral's name for it is "bacterial SSU rRNA". It matches the Rfam family "Bacterial small subunit ribosomal RNA", at positions 341 to 792 of the family's 1533-position model. Lineage: Bacteria; Bacillati; Bacillota; Clostridia; Lachnospirales; Lachnospiraceae. The record is from RNAcentral.
ACGGAAGGCAGCAGUGGGGAAUAUUGGACAAUGGGGGAAACCCUGAUCCAGCGACGCCGCGUGAGUGAAGAAGUAUUUCGGUAUGUAAAGCUCUAUCAGCAGGGAAGAUAAUGACGGUACCUGACUAAGAAGCCCCGGCUAACUACGUGCCAGCAGCCGCGGUAAUACGUAGGGGGCAAGCGUUAUCCGGAUUUACUGGGUGUAAAGGGAGCGUAGACGGCAAAGCAAGUCUGAAGUGAAAUGCCGGGGCUUAACCCCGGAACUGCUUUGGAAACUGUUUAGCUAGAGUGCAGGAGAGGUAAGCGGAAUUCCUAGUGUAGCGGUGAAAUGCGUAGAUAUUAGGAGGAACACCAGUGGCGAAGGCGGCUUACUGGACUGUAACUGACGUUGAGGCUCGAAAGCGUGGGGAGCAAACAGGAUUAGAUACCCUGGUA